UUGGCCUCGAAUCAGGCGGGACUACCCGCUGAACUUAA
RNAcentral lists this ribosomal RNA (38 nucleotides) under Protomerulius substuppeus. RNAcentral's name for it is "partial 28S ribosomal RNA". Lineage: Eukaryota; Fungi; Basidiomycota; Agaricomycetes; Auriculariales; Hyaloriaceae. The record is from RNAcentral.